RNAcentral lists this long non-coding RNA (203 nucleotides) under Elaeis guineensis (African oil palm). Its description in RNAcentral is "long non-coding RNA (EGUI_LNC065003)". The record is from RNAcentral. Lineage: Eukaryota; Viridiplantae; Streptophyta; Magnoliopsida; Arecales; Arecaceae.
AUUGAAGUGACUCGUACUGAUGUUAAGAAUGUGUUAGCAAAUUUAAUGGUACAAUCAGUAUUGAUCGAAUAGAUAAAAGCGGCCCAAUAAAAUGAUAUUCAUUUAUGUCAAUUUAAGAAGGACAUGGAGAAAGGGCUACGGACUGAGUUUAGGCUACAUACAGAUGGAACUUUUUAUUUUAGGAACAGAUUAUGUAUACCAGG